UUGAUUUCACACUGCCGAGAAAAGCCUCUAGAUAGAAAAUAGGUGCCCGUACCGCAAACCGACACAGGUAGUCAAGAUGAGAAUUCUAAGGUGAGCGAGCGAACUCUCGUUAAGGAACUCGGCAAAAUGACCCCGUAACUUCGGGAGAAGGGGUGCUCUUUAGGGUUAACGCCCAGAAGAGCCGCAGUGAAUAGGCCCAAGCGACUGUUUAUCAAAAACACAGGUCUCUGCUAAACCGUAAGGUGAUGUAUAGGGGCUGACGCCUGCCCGGUGCUGGAAGGUUAAGAGGAGUGGUUAGCUUCUGCGAAGCUACGAAUCGAAGCCCCAGUAAACGGCGGCCGUAACUAUAACGGUCCUAAGGUAGCGAAAUUCCUUGUCGGGUAAGUUCCGACCCGCACGAAAGGCGUA
This 408-nucleotide ribosomal RNA is filed under the name Staphylococcus aureus. Its description in RNAcentral is "partial 23S ribosomal RNA". It matches the Rfam family "Bacterial large subunit ribosomal RNA", at positions 1594 to 2003 of the family's 2925-position model. Lineage: Bacteria; Bacillati; Bacillota; Bacilli; Caryophanales; Staphylococcaceae. The record is from RNAcentral.